GUCAAGUCUGGUCCAGCCCACACUUCAAACUUAAUCAAAAAAUAAAAGUUUGGAAGAGAUUUAGUUAGCACUCAUCACAGACCCAAACUAAUUUAUUAUGGCACUACCGCAAAAGAUGAAAGAAAAAUUAAUCAGUGAGGUUGUAAUUAUCAGCUGCAUUACACAUCAUCAGAGUGAAAGGGGUGUUCACAGCUGGGUUAAUCAUGCAGACAUCUCUGAUUCAGAGACAUUACAGCUACUUUCUUAAUUCUUACAAAAUAUGUGGUUUUGAAAACAGGUGAUAAGAAAGGACAUUAUUAGUUUCUUGAUGAGCUACAUCCUGAUCCUGUGUUGGGAAAGACCAUCCCUAAAGGCAAGCACAAUGUCUCUGGGUCAAUCUUCUUAUGUUAAGAUGAGUGUCUGUGUCCAUUUAGACAUAACUAAACUGACAUACAGGUGCAACGUUACUACUGGUACCUGUUGAGGUGUUUUGUUAUGUGUUUACAGAGCAGUCAGACCACAUAUGUACCCAGCAAAGUUUCAUUAUUACCACGUGCAGGUUACUGCCUUUAGCCAUCUCUACAAGAGCUUUGAUAUGAAUCAUAUUAGGGAAUUUAAAUAAAUGUUGACAUUAACCUUGGGCUUUAUAUAAGCAAUGAUACACAAGGGAAUGUAAAUCUGCAUUGAUGCAAAGCAUGCUACUAAAAUGAAAUAUUGUAGUGCACACUGAAAACCAAGCACAGGAAAAACUUUAAGAAAAAAACUGCACUCUGAAAAGAUUAGUCACUGUAAUUUUCUGUACAUGAAAUAAAGACCACAGGUUGAACAGAAUGAUUGGUAUACUAAUAUAAUGGCACCCACUGGUCCAUGCACUUUAUUUUGUCAAAGCGUUUUCAUUUUGAGCUGUUUCAACAUUGCUAUGUUUUACUUUAAUAUACAGGCUACAGUAGUAGUGGCUUACCACUUACAAGGUAGUCCAUCCCUUAAAAGGCAUAAUAUACUUUUAAAAUGGGGGUUGUAAGGGGUAUGUAUGCGCUCUUUUGGACCAUUUUUCAAUGCAUUAUUUUGCCCUCAGAAAGCCCAUUCUUUUUCACUAUUCUCGAAUGCUACACAUAUAUUAAUAGACUUUAUAUAUCUAUACAGUAUAUGUGUUCUUCCACAAGUGUUUAGCUAAUGGGGUCUAUAAUGUCGAGGUCACUAAUGAAUCAUGAAUUCUGAUCAUUUUGUAUCUGAGUAUGACGUGAUUUUAAGCACCAGACUGCAGCUGUAUUUGAGGUGCUGGUAUAUUCUGAUUCAGAAAGGUCCUGAAUUACUAUUGUCGUCCAGGUAAUUAAACGGGACAAAGAGGUAUUCAAAGCAGAUUGUAUAAGCUGAACAUUAACAACGGGUAAGACAGACAAAACACAGGUACAAACUCAGGGGGUAAACUAGACUUGACACAAAGGGAAAAACAGGAAAUACUAAAAACUGAAUGAAGAAACCAAACAGUGAAAAACACAAGAACAACAGGAACAUAAGAAUAACAAAGAAGUGAAACAGGAACAACAUAUACAUAAUGAGUAAAACCCCACGGGGAAUAGUAACACAGGGGAAUAAUUCACAACAAGCGAUAGAGGAAAUACAAAACAAGGAAAACAUAACAAAAACAGGAAUGAAUUAUGACAACCCCUGCUUAGUAAUCAUAACUACACUCACUUCGCUAUUGAAGCUCUUCCAGAUGGCAGCGAAAUUUAGAUUUAGUUGCUUUUACAACCAAAAGAUGUUGUUUGGUGGACAAAUGUUAUUUUUGAUUGCACAGAAGUGAUUAAAUUAGACACUAGCAUGAAUAAUUACACGCUUUCGAGGGUUUUUAUUCUUCAACACAGUUUUUCACCCUCAACAAUAUAUGUGUCUGACCUCAGCCCUGUUUUUGCAAUCAUAUACAGUAUUGUAUCGCACACUGUCAUGAUAAGAAAGUGGAAUGAUAUUGAAUUGCUCUGCCACUUGUACUCUUCUCUCAAUCAAUGACUCAGGAUUGUGUCAGGUAUUCAAGUACCAAUAGGUGUGCAGCUCUCUGUCAGGACCAGAUCUAUCCGGACUCUGGUGCUCAUGUAUGUAAGGAAAAGCUCUCCUUGAGGGCAGGACUCUUUCUCAACAUCUACAAGGACGAAAACUUCAUUAAUGUUCAGAAGAAGUAAUACUGGGCUCUCUUUAAUGCAUUUGAAAACACAUUUUCAAUGCUGUCUGCGUGAGGGCAGCUGUAGCAAGGAUGCGAUAAACACACACAGCAUAUAAAAAGACUCCAUGGCCAGUGGGAGAAUUCAUCAAGAUUUUAAUUAAUUGUGUAUCUGACUUAUUUGCUGCAGGCAAAUAUCAACUCACAGGACUACCUCUAGAAAGUGUGGACAUAUAUGAAGAGUUCCAAUCAAUAAAAGUGGAUAUGAAGAAAGUGAAUUGGUCCUUCGUUGGAGAUUGCACAAACCCCAUAAAGUCUCAGUUUCCUGUCCUGACAUUGGCUUUUCUUUUAGGUGUAUGCUAGGGAAAUGUAUCGUUAGUUGAGCCAAAGGGGUAAGUUGAGCCACCCCCUGUUUCUUGGAAAUGGUAAAAGAAAUUGGUCAUGUGACCAAAUAUUUAGGAGAUGGGCAUCAAUUCAUGGAGUCUGUGAAGGUUAGAAACACAUGGGUGAAGAGGUUAGACAUUUAUUUACAAAACAAAAACAUUUUCCACUCUUGAAAGUGAAUUCAGUUUGUCGUAAGUUUUAUUUGAAUUGUGUUCAGACCAAAAAAGUUCAUGUUUGUUUUAUAAAUCAACUGUGGUAUCUAUGAGCGACAACAUAAGGUCAAAAACCUAACAUAAAAGUCCACCAUUUUAGCUUAAAGGACUAAUAGACGGGUUCCUGUGCAAUGUCAUCGCAGGUAUGCGCGCACAGCCUUGGGGCAGAAAGCGGGACAUUUCUUAUUUGUGUGCUAGCGGAGUCAAUGGAGAAAGAAAAUGACAAGGAGCUGUUGUGCUGUAAACUGCAUGAAUCGGCAAAACUAACAACUGGCAAACAUUACGACCCUGCUCCUGAUAUUAGAAACAUCUAAAACAAUGUCACAACCUGGUAAACUGUGUGAAAUUCAUGGACAUUUCAGCAAGUGUUUUUCUGAUUUUGAUGCCAUGAAAGACAAAGCAAUUUUUCAAUGAAAAAAAAAAACAUUUUAUUGCAGUUGUGUCAGGGAGAACUUGCAAACAAUACGACAGAAAGACAGUAGAAAUACGGCUCAACUUACCCCGCUCCUAUGGUCAACUUACCCCAUACACAGGGUUAAGUUGACCAUAGGAGACCAUUUUUUUUGGCAUGCUAUAUUAUCAAGACAGUUCUGUUUACACUCAUUCUGUUGGUUUACAGGGAUGAACAACAUCUUGAAAUAUAUGCAGAUACACUAGUUAGAGACAAAACUAUGAUUGACUUGAUGUACUGAAAUAUGAAAAAUGGUUCAUCUUACCCCACUCUCCCCUAUCUGACUUAUUUGCUGCAGGCAAAUAUCAACUCACACGACUACCUCCAAAAAGUGUGGGAAUAUAUGAAGAGUUCCAAUCAAGAGGAGAAAGUGAACGGUCCUUCAUUGGAGACUGCACAAACCCUAUAAAGUCUCAAUUUCCUGUCCUGACAUUGGCUUUUCUUUUAGGUGUGUGUUAGGGAUGGAAAAUCGUUUUUAUGAUAGAUUUAAACCGCUUAAGCAA
Molecule: non-coding RNA, 3684 nt
Organism: Xyrichtys novacula (pearly razorfish)
Lineage: Eukaryota; Metazoa; Chordata; Actinopteri; Labriformes; Labridae
Source: the annotation of a GenBank genome assembly